This is a small nucleolar RNA of Rana temporaria (common frog), 131 nucleotides long. The record is from RefSeq and is a predicted model, not a curated record. Lineage: Eukaryota; Metazoa; Chordata; Amphibia; Anura; Ranidae.
CUGCACUGUACGUAACUUGCUUCCAGCUCUCUCCUGGCUGUGGGUUCCAUUCCAGUGCUAGAUUAUACCUGGUUGGGGGGUGCAUGUGGCAGGUACUGUCCUGUCAUUUCCCCUAGAGGCCAGGGACAUGC